UAGCAUAUUAGGGUUUUCUAGAGGGACAGAACUAAUAGGAUAGAUACGGAGGGAGUUUAUUAAGGAGUAUCAACUUACACCAUCACAAGGUGUCCCACAAUAGGCUGUCUGCAAGCUGAGGAGCAAGGAAGCUAGUCCGAGUCCCAAAGCUGAAGAACCUGGAGUCUGAUGUUCAAGGGCAGGAAGCAUUCAGCACGGGAGAAAGAUGGCUGGGAGGCUAAGCCAGUCUCAUCUCUCCACGUUUGUCUGCGUGCUUUUUAUUCUGGCCAUGCUGGCAGCUGAUUAGAUGGUACCCAGCUGGAUUGAGGGUGGAUCUGCCUCUCCCAGUCCACUGACUCAAAUGUUAAUCUCCUUUGGCAACACCCUUACAGAUACACCCAGCAAUAACACUUUGCAUCCUUCAAUCCAGUCAGGUUGACAGUAUUAACCAUCACAAUUAGUGAUCUUGAGCAUUUUUCCAUGUUUGUUGGCUAUCAGUUUUAUAAUUUUAAUAAUGGUAAUAAAAUUUCCCUUAUUAGAAUGUCAGUAGGAUUAAUUAGAAAUACUUGGCAUUAAAUAGAAGUAAUCUGGUAAACAUUGGAUUUUAGAAAUUGGAGAGUUCAUGUUGUCAAAAAAGCAUUUCCACACUUUAAUGAUAUGAUGCAAGGAGCAGGAUUGUUCAGAAAUGACCCUGGUGUUGACUGAGACUUCGGCUCUCUCCUUCCAACAAGAAGCAGUUCCCAAACUGAACUUCCCAUAAGACUGGUAGUGCUUCCUACCUCUGCCAAAGUGAACUGUAAUUUCCCAUAGGCCCCAAAGAUUCCAGAUGCUGAACAGCUGGUGUUAUGUAAAGAGCUAGCAUCAAGUCUAUACUCCCUCUCGUGUCUUUUUCCUGAAAAUGUUCCUCCCAUGAUUGCCCUAUAAGAAAGAAUGAGAAAUGGGCAGGUCUUUUCAUUGAAUCUCUGACUCACAUCAUGUGUCCACAGAGUAUCCUGGUCCUGCCCCGUCUUUCGUUAAGAGCAGUGGAAGUAUGUGGUACUUAGGAUUGUUUUAUUUUGCUGAUACUGCCUUAUCAGUUUCCCCUUUCCCACAGUAAGACUGUUAUUUAAACUAUGCCCUAUAAUGUUGUAAAUUUGAGUCUUAGUGUAGGAUAGGUAGGCACUGAGAAGGGAUCUAUCAUGCAUGACAAAUAAAUUAGUUUGUAAUCAUGUCCUUUUUUCUCCUCUCCUAAU
Long non-coding RNA from Sapajus apella (tufted capuchin), 1211 nucleotides. RefSeq lists it as uncharacterized. NCBI's taxonomy places the organism in Eukaryota, Metazoa, Chordata, Mammalia, Primates, Cebidae. The record is from RefSeq and is a predicted model, not a curated record. The transcript is spliced from 3 exons.